GCUGGGCGUGGUGGCUCAUGCCUGUAAUCCCAGCACUUUGGGAGGCUGAGGCGGGAGGAUCACCUGAGGUCAGGAGUUUGAGACCAGCCUGGCCAACAUGGUGAAACUCUGUCUCUU
Molecule: unclassified non-coding RNA, 117 nt
Organism: Pongo abelii (Sumatran orangutan)
Lineage: Eukaryota; Metazoa; Chordata; Mammalia; Primates; Hominidae
Rfam family: Metazoan signal recognition particle RNA
About the family: The signal recognition particle (SRP) is a universally conserved ribonucleoprotein. It is involved in the co-translational targeting of proteins to membranes. The eukaryotic SRP consists of a 300-nucleotide 7S RNA and six proteins: SRPs 72, 68, 54, 19, 14, and 9.
Source: Ensembl